Molecule: transfer RNA, 76 nt
Filed under: Kocuria rhizophila
Lineage: Bacteria; Bacillati; Actinomycetota; Actinomycetes; Micrococcales; Micrococcaceae
Description: tRNA-Ile
Rfam family: tRNA (bases 3-67)
About the family: Transfer RNA (tRNA) molecules are approximately 80 nucleotides in length. Their secondary structure includes four short double-helical elements and three loops (D, anti-codon, and T loops).
Source: RNAcentral
CGGUAUGGCUCGACGGUUGAGAGCGCUUCGCUGAUAACGAAGAGGUCCAGGUUCAAAUUCCUGGUACGCCCACCCA